RNAcentral lists this ribosomal RNA (460 nucleotides) under uncultured bacterium. Its description in RNAcentral is "partial 16S ribosomal RNA". It matches the Rfam family "Bacterial small subunit ribosomal RNA", at positions 338 to 795 of the family's 1533-position model. The record is from RNAcentral.
CCUACGGGAGGCAGCAGUGAGGAAUAUUGGUCAAUGGACGAGAGUCUGAACCAGCCAAGUAGCGUGAAGGAUGACUGCCCUAUGGGUUGUAAACUUCUUUUAUAAAGGAAUAAAACGAGGCACGUGUGCCUUUUUGCAUGUACUUUAUGAAUAAGGAUCGGCUAACUCCGUGCCAGCAGCCGCGGUAAUACGGAGGAUCCGAGCGUUAUCCGGAUUUAUUGGGUUUAAAGGGAGCGUAGAUGGGUUGGUAAGUCAGUUGUGAAAGUUUGCGGCUCAACCGUAAAAUUGCAAUUGAUACUGGCAGUCUAGAGUACAGUUGAGGUAGGCGGAAUUCGUGGUGUAGCGGUGAAAUGCUUAGAUAUCACGAAGAACCCCGAUUGCGAAGGCAGCUUACUAAACUGUGACUGACAUUGAUGCUCGAAAGUGUGGGUAUCAAACAGGAUUAGAUACCCGAGUAGUC